AUUGAACGCUGGCGGCAGGCCUAACACAUGCAAGUCGAACGGUAACAGGAAGAAUCUUGCUUCUUUGCUGACGAGUGGCGGACGGGUGAGUAAUGUCUGGGAAACUGCCUGAUGGAGGGGGAUAACUACUGGAAACGGUAGCUAAUACCGCAUAACGUCGCAAGACCAAAGAGGGGGACCUUCGGGCCUCUUGCCAUCGGAUUUGCCCCGAUGGGAGUAGCCAGUAGGUGGGGUAACGGCUCACCUAGGCGACGACCCCUAGCUGGUCUGAGAGGGUGAACCACCACCCGGUAUCUGAGACUCGGUCGCGACUCCUACGGGGGGCAGCAGUGGGGACUAUUGCACGAUGCGGGAGAGCCUGAUGCAGCCAUGCCGGGUGUAUGAAGACGGACUUCUGGUUCUAAAGUACUGUCGGCGGGGAGGAAGGGAGUAACGUUAACCCCUGUGCUCAUUGACGUUACCCGCAGAAGAAGCCCCGGCUAACUCCGUG
Molecule: ribosomal RNA, 490 nt
Filed under: uncultured bacterium
Lineage: Bacteria
Description: partial 16S ribosomal RNA
Rfam family: Bacterial small subunit ribosomal RNA
Source: RNAcentral